This 473-nucleotide ribosomal RNA is filed under the name uncultured organism. Its description in RNAcentral is "partial 16S ribosomal RNA". It matches the Rfam family "Bacterial small subunit ribosomal RNA", at positions 331 to 796 of the family's 1533-position model. The record is from RNAcentral.
GUACACUCCUGCGGGAGGCAGCAGUGGGGAAUAUUGCACAAUGGGCGCAAGCCUGAUGCAGCCAUGCCGCGUGUAUGAAGAAGGCCUUCGGGUUGUAAAGUACUUUCAGCGGGGAGGAAGGCGAUAAGGUUAAUAACCUUGUCGAUUGACGUUACCCGCAGAAGAAGCACCGGCUAACUCCGUGCCAGCAGCCGCGGUAAUACGGAGGGUGCAAGCGUUAAUCGGAAUUACUGGGCGUAAAGCGCACGCAGGCGGUCUGUCAAGUCGGAUGUGAAAUCCCCGGGCUCAACCUGGGAACUGCAUUCGAAACUGGCAGGCUAGAGUCUUGUAGAGGGGGGUAGAAUUCCAGGUGUAGCGGUGAAAUGCGUAGAGAUCUGGAGGAAUACCGGUGGCGAAGGCGGCCCCCUGGACAAAGACUGACGCUCAGGUGCGAAAGCGUGGGGAGCAAACAGGAUUAGAAACCCGUGUAGUCC